CUGCGCUGCGCCCGGCCGCCCCCGCCGCCGCCCGCCGCCGCUACCGCCAUCUUAGGAGCAUGCUGGAAGCGCCGAGUGACGGCACCACCGGCACGGAUGCAGUCUGGUGCCUGAUGUGGAGCCUGAGUCCCCAGCUCAGGUGUAAAGGAGAACCAGAAAUGUCACCCUAGCAGUUUUGAGGCGUCAUCAACCACCUGGGUUUGCUGCUCUGAAGCAAGGCACUCUGCAGCUACCAAGACCACCUCAGUUUCCCCUCCAUCCAGGCUGGCUCCAGAUCUUCAUCAGCUGGGCUGAAAGCUACAGCAAUUCAGGAGCACUUGGCAUAUGCCAAGUGCGAGAGGCAGAGGUCAGCAUUCACGUCUUAUGUAAAUAAAUUGGCCUUCUGACAGCAAAAACACUGCAAGACCACGUAUACAGGCUCACUGAUCAGACAGCAGUGCAAGGAAUGCAGCUGCCAGGCAGAGAAGGUGAAGACAUGAAGAUUAUUUCUAUAGUUGGGACUAUCUGUGCUACUCUAUAGUAGAGAGCUGGGAGCUGUCUGGCAGAACAACUUGGAUUCCAUGAGGUGCCACAUGCCACCCUUUUCCACCAAUCCUGGCAGUGGGAGGUUCUGUUUAAAAUCCAGCUUUGGAUGCGGUGAACUAUAGUUGAAUUUGGCCUUAGUGCAUGGACAUGUUUGGAUAAAAUGUACCAACUCUUGUUGAGACUCACUGCUUGAGCAAUGCACAGGAUUCAUGCUUCUUUUCUGAUUUGCUUGGAAUUCUGCUCAGAAGAUUUUCCCAAACAGAAGAAAAUUCAAGGAUCGUAUUCAUUUUGGGAAACUUUGGAGGACACAAAGCUGUCCAACAGGUUAUUUUCUUUGGAGAAAAUAUAUGUUCUCUGUGGUCACUUCAAACGUACAUCAGACCAGAGAUCACUCAAAUGAUCUUUCAAUGCUUCUAAAUGAAGAUAUAAUAUGACAGCUAAGAAACUCACACGGGAAAGAAAUCCAUUUUUCUCCCAAAGGCUGACACACAGCUGAGACUGAUUUUUCUAAGGUUUCCUCUGAACUUGUCUGAACUAUUUUUUCAGACUGAAGAGUAGAACAACAGUAAUAGGAAUGAAGUGACAUUAAUAAUGUAACAUCAGUUCUUUUCUUCUUUCCCCUUUGCCUCAAUAUGCAAAGUCUGAUAGUUGCUGAAAUAUAUUCAAUCCUGAGGGACAAAAUGAGGACCUACAAAAAAAAGCAAGGAUGCAGGUUUGGAGUCAGAUUAUUUCCUGUCUCCUCAGAAGACAGAACAGCUGCUGUAAAAGCAAGACCAUGAAGAGACACAGCAGUGUUGCUGCCAGAUAAGGAUAGCAUGGCUGUUCAUUCCCUUCUCACUCACGCAGGACAGGGCCAUCAUUAUCUAGUUUAAAGCAAACAUGACAGACACUGCUAUUAUCACAUCAGCAGAUUGUUCAGUUAUUAUUGUUUGUAUUGCAGGAGUGCCUGGAGGCCCAGGCUGUGUUGCAACACUUAUUUGCUAUGUGCAGGACAUACUUUCAGGAGACCGUUCCCAUCUGGAAUAGCUUCUUCUGCACACACUAAGUAUCAGUAAGAAAAAAGGGACUAAUCACACUGUACCAGAGCAAAGGAAAUGCAGUUUACCCAAAGUUGUAACUGAGAAACUCUUCUAUAGAGCUGUAUGGACAGCAUCAUUCUCAAGCCAUGUGGAGAGACAGCAAAAUUAAUCAGCUGAUGUUUUUGCAUGUAGAAAGAAAAGACUGCAUAUGCCUGAAACAACCUGCACUAAACAUGGUGAUACAAGUGGCAAUUCCACUUGUUCAGAAGGCAGCCUGAUAAUGGGAGACUUAAGAAUUUUUGUACAUGUCUUUGCUAAUGAUCCCUUUAAUUACUAGCUAUAAAUCAUAUGGUAUGAAAACAUCACCAUUCUCAUUUCAAGAAGAAAGAUUUUGUAAUGCUUUUUCACUGUGUAAUACAUAUGGAUUUAGGGCUCUGUGGAUUAAAUUUGGCAAUUUCAGGCAUGCAAGGUUACUAAUCCGUACUUUGUCUACAUAAAAUCGAAAGAAGAAGCAAGGCAGCCUUGUGCCCUGGGGAUGGCUGGGGAAUUCCACACAUGCCUGUCUUCUGUAACUCUUGUCAAGGGUGAAAACAUUAAUGUCAGUGUUGCAAUAGUUACAGGCAGACUAAAAGGGCACACUUCAAGCAAAGCAAACGUGGUUUCAUUAAGUAUUUCUCUGUUUUCACCUCACAGUUAUUUUUUUGACACCUCUGUUCUCCCAGUUUCCUGAUGUUUUAAAGUAUGUAUUUGUCACAUUUAAUUCUGUUUUCCUGUAAUAGCUUCAUCCGCAGAGACUUCUCUUGGAGAACGGCCCAGAGAUUUUUCUGUUUCUUCUUACAUUUCUAUUUUCUCUGCAUCUGCUGUUACAUCAUCUAUAUGGGUUAUAUACACAUAAUUUUAGUUGUUAUGUCAAACUUAUAAUGCCACAAUCAGGCUGUCAAAAUGACUAAGUCCUGAGGAAUUUAUUUAGGCAAAAUUUGCACAGAAUUGUCUGUGAUUUCUUUAAUAAGUUGAAUGCUGCAAUAUUUCUGGUAGGUAUGCCAAAAUAAUAUAGGUAUAAGAAUAGAGCAUUAGUAAAAAUCAUUUCAGGAGCCAGUAAAGUAAAUCACAUUGUGCAGUUUUAACAAGGUCAAUGAUGAACUGGAAGGAAGCAAGAAAUCUUGAUUUUGGCUUCAGUUUUCAAUUCUUGACCACACUUCUUUGCUGUGUAAUUACACUAUUUACUGUUAAAUUUUAAUAUUGAACUGAGUAAAUUCUAUAUUUACUGAAUUUAAUAAAUUAUGUAACUAUUUUCCUGCAUCUCAUUAAUAGA
Lagopus muta (rock ptarmigan) is the source of this 2856-nucleotide long non-coding RNA. RefSeq lists it as uncharacterized. NCBI's taxonomy places the organism in Eukaryota, Metazoa, Chordata, Aves, Galliformes, Phasianidae. The record is from RefSeq and is a predicted model, not a curated record. The transcript is spliced from 7 exons.